CAGUCGAACGAACUUCCGUUAAUUGAUUAUGACGUACUUGUACUGAUUGAGAUUUUAACACGAAGUGAGUGGCGAACGGGUGAGUAACACGUGGGUAACCUGCCCAGAAGUAGGGGAUAACACCUGGAAACAGAUGCUAAUACCGUAUAACAGAGAAAACCGCAUGGUUUUCUUUUAAAAGAUGGCUCUGCUAUCACUUCUGGAUGGACCCGCGGCGUAUUAGCUAGUUGGUGAGGUAAAGGCUCACCAAGGCAGUGAUACGUAGCCGACCUGAGAGGGUAAUCGGCCACAUUGGGACUGAGACACGGCCCAGACUCCUACGGGAGGCAGCAGUAGGGAAUCUUCCACAAUGGACGCAAGUCUGAUGGAGCAACGCCGCGUGAGUGAAGAAGGGUUUCGGCUCGUAAAGCUCUGUUGUUAAAGAAGAACGUGGGUAAGAGUAACUGUUUACCCAGUGACGGUAUUUAACCAGAAAGCCACGGCUAACUACGUGCCAGCAGCCGCGGUAAUACGUAGGUGGCAAGCGUUAUCCGGAUUUAUUGGGCGUAAAGCGAGCGCAG
Molecule: ribosomal RNA, 560 nt
Filed under: Pediococcus pentosaceus
Lineage: Bacteria; Bacillati; Bacillota; Bacilli; Lactobacillales; Lactobacillaceae
Description: bacterial SSU rRNA
Rfam family: Bacterial small subunit ribosomal RNA
Source: RNAcentral